Molecule: long non-coding RNA, 717 nt
Filed under: Phoenix dactylifera (date palm)
Lineage: Eukaryota; Viridiplantae; Streptophyta; Magnoliopsida; Arecales; Arecaceae
Description: long non-coding RNA (PDAC_LNC019052)
Source: RNAcentral
GAUUGCUGUAUCCAACUUAAAUUUUUAGAGGUGGAGAGAAUAUUUGUGAACUUGAUUUUGGCAUUGAUCGCAAGGGUUAUUACCUGUUUCCCUCAUUAUUGAUUGCACAUCUCCUAAUUGUGAAAUUAAUUUGUUAAGUAAUUUAAUACUGAGUGUCUCCAUUGUCCUUUGGCAUCUUCUCUCGUAACCUUCCUGCCACUUAUGAUGUUCCUUAAUGUUCCAGAACUAGGUUAGGUCAAUGGUUUAUGCAGUCUUCUAUUUCUUUGGUCAUAUUUUCAUCAAAAUGUGUGGAAUUUUGUUGGAUGACUAGCGUACUUUUUUCUUCCACUUGAUUCUUCUUCUUCUUCCUUUUUCCUUUUUUUUUUACCUAAAAGGAUUAAUUCUUCUUCACCAUCAAUGUUAGAUAAGAAAUCAAAUAAGCCUUUGACAUUUUUUUAAUUUUUUAACUCCAUGAUUCAUCAGCAUGGAUGCAUGAUCCACGUCAUGUGAUAUUUGUGAACUCGUUGAAGUUUACAAAUAUUUUUAAAUUUUAAAUUCUAAGUAGUGAUGUUCGUCCAGUACUGAAACUUGAUAUAUUGCUAUUUGUGAACUAGGUAUCCUUUGUGCCUGCACUUGUUGCUCCUUUGGUUGUCUAUCCAUUUGUGUCUUGGAUUUCCUUCUUGUGAUUCUGAAAUUUAGUGCUCAUAAUUGUAGUUAUCUGCAAGUGAUGAUAUCCUU